RNAcentral lists this ribosomal RNA (467 nucleotides) under uncultured bacterium. RNAcentral describes it as "partial 16S ribosomal RNA". It matches the Rfam family "Bacterial small subunit ribosomal RNA", at positions 28 to 507 of the family's 1533-position model. The record is from RNAcentral.
GACGAACGCUGGCGGCGUGCUUAACACAUGCAAGUCGAACGAUGAAGCCCAGCUUGCUGGGUGGAAGAGUGGCGAACGGGUGAGUAACACGUGAGUAACCUGCCCUGAACUCUGGGAUAAGCACUGGAAACGGUGUCUAAUACUGGAUACGACCUAUCACCGCAUGGUGUGUGGGUGGAAAGAUUUAUCGGUUCUGGAUGGACUCGCGGCCUAUCAGCUAGAUGGUGAGGUGAUGGCUCACCAUGGCGACGACGGGUAGCCGGCCUGAGAGGGUGACCGGCCACACUGGGACUGAGACACGGCCCAGACUCCUACGGGAGGCAGCAGUGGGGAAUAUUGCACAAUGGGCGCAAGCCUGAUGCAGCAACGCCGCGUGAGGGAUGACGGCCUUCGGGUUGUAAACCUCUUUUAGUAGGGAAGAAGCGAAAGUGACGGUACCUGCAGAAAAAGCACCGGCUAACUACGUG